This is a non-coding RNA of Hypoxylon trugodes, 99 nucleotides long. The record is from the annotation of a RefSeq genome assembly. NCBI's taxonomy places the organism in Eukaryota, Fungi, Ascomycota, Sordariomycetes, Xylariales, Hypoxylaceae.
GCCCGACUAGCUCAUCGGUAGAGCGCCUCACUAGUAUAUCUUCUCACGAAGUUUGGCUUGAAAAUGAGGAGGCAACAGGUUCGAUUCCUGUGUUGGGCA